RNAcentral lists this ribosomal RNA (445 nucleotides) under uncultured bacterium. RNAcentral describes it as "partial 16S ribosomal RNA". It matches the Rfam family "Bacterial small subunit ribosomal RNA", at positions 354 to 796 of the family's 1533-position model. The record is from RNAcentral.
GUGAGGAAUAUUGGUCAAUGGGCGAGAGCCUGAACCAGCCAAGUCGCGUGAAGGAAGAAGGAUCUAUGGUUCGUAAACUUCUUUUGCAGGGGAAUAAAGUGCGGGACGUGUCCUGUUUUGUAUGUACCCUGAGAAUAAGGAUCGGCUAACUCCGUGCCAGCAGCCGCGGUAAUACGGAGGAUCCGAGCGUUAUCCGGAUUUAUUGGGUUUAAAGGGUGCGGAGGUGGUUUGAUAAGUCAGCGGUGAAAGUUUGCAGCUUAACUGUAAAAAUGCCGUUGAAACUGUCGGACUUGAGUGUAAAUGAGGUAGGCGGAAUGCGUGGUGUAGCGGUGAAAUGCAUAGAUAUCACGCAGAACUCCGAUUGCGAAGGCAGCUUACUAAGCUACAACUGACACUGAAGCACGAAAGCGUGGGGAUCAAACAGGAUUAGAUACCCGAGUAGUCC